RNAcentral lists this ribosomal RNA (513 nucleotides) under uncultured Chryseobacterium sp. Its description in RNAcentral is "bacterial SSU rRNA". It matches the Rfam family "Bacterial small subunit ribosomal RNA", at positions 505 to 1019 of the family's 1533-position model. Lineage: Bacteria; Pseudomonadati; Bacteroidota; Flavobacteriia; Flavobacteriales; Weeksellaceae. The record is from RNAcentral.
GUGCCAGCCGCCGCGGUAAUACGGAGGGUGCAAGCGUUAUCCGGAUUUAUUGGGUUUAAAGGGUCCGUAGGCGGAUGCGUAAGUCAGUGGUGAAAUCUCACAGCUCAACUGUGAAACUGCCAUUGAUACUGCGUGUCUUGAGUGAGGUUGAGGUAGCUGGAAUAAGUAGUGUAGCGGUGAAAUGCAUAGAUAUUACUUAGAACACCAAUUGCGAAGGCAGGUUACUAAGUCUCAACUGACGCUGAUGGACGAAAGCGAGGGGAGCGAACAGGAUUAGAUACCCUGGUAGUCCACGCUGUAAACGAUGCUAACUCGUUUUUGGGGAUUUAUCUUCAGAGACUAAGCGAAAGUGAUAAGUUAGCCACCUGGGGAGUACGAACGCAAGUUUGAAACUCAAAGGAAUUGACGGGGGCCCGCACAAGCGGUGGAUUAUGUGGUUUAAUUCGUUGAUACGCGAGGAACCUUACCAAGGCUUAAAUGGGAAUUGAUCGGUUUAGAAAUAGACCUUCCUUC